UAUCUGUAUGAAUUUAACCAGUGAUGUUAACUGUAACAAAACACAAUGCUAACCACAAACAAACCUGUGAUACUAAGUGUUUCCAGUGAUUAACAAGACACAGAGUGGAAACGUUUCAGAAAGGAAAUCCCAGACGAGACGGUGCUUAUCGUGAUGACAUCCGUUGAUCUACAGACAGGUUAUGGGGAAAUCUACUGUACAUGUUGCAAAAGCUCUGAUAUAGCGGGUGUUACAGGAAAUGAG
Molecule: long non-coding RNA, 243 nt
Organism: Seriola dumerili (greater amberjack)
Lineage: Eukaryota; Metazoa; Chordata; Actinopteri; Carangiformes; Carangidae
Exons: 3
Source: RefSeq, a predicted model, not a curated record